This 1011-nucleotide ribosomal RNA is filed under the name Triticum aestivum (bread wheat). Its description in RNAcentral is "partial small subunit ribosomal RNA". The record is from RNAcentral. Lineage: Eukaryota; Viridiplantae; Streptophyta; Magnoliopsida; Poales; Poaceae.
AUGGAAACCAAGCCUUUCGUGGUUCAAAAACGCGGAAUCUCGUCUCAAUCAUCAUUUGUCAGGACUUUUCGGGGUAAGUUCUUUGGCUUGGACAGGACAUUUAGUUCAUGUUGCUAUUCCCGCAUCCAGGGGGAGUACGUUCGAUGGAAUAAUUUCUUAGAUGUAUUACCCUAUCCCCGGGGGUUGGGACCCCUUUUGACGGGUCAAUGGAAUCUUUAUGCCCAAAACCCUGAUUCGAGUAAUCAUUUAUUUGGUACUGCUCAAGGAGCGGGAACUGCCAUUCUAACUCUUCUUGGGGGAUUCCAUCCACAAACACAAAGUUUGUGGCUGACCGAUAUGGCUCACCAUCAUUUAGCUAUUGCAUUUAUUUUUCUCAUUUCCGGUCACAUGUAUCGAACUAACUUCGGAAUUGGGCAUAGUAUUAAAGAACUUUUAGAAGCGCAUACUCCUCCGGGGAGUCGAUUAGGGCGUGGGCAUAAGGGCCUUUAUGACAGAAUCAACAAUUCGAUUCAUCUUCAGUUAGGUCUUGCUCUAGCUUCUUUAGGGGUUAUUACUUCCUUAGUAGCUCAACAUAUGUACUCUUUACCUCCUUAUGCAUUCAUAGCACAAGACUUUACUACUCAAGCUGCUUUAUAUACUCAUCACCAAUAUAUUGCAGGGUUCAUCAUGACAGGGGCUUUUGCUCAUGGAGCUAUUUUUUUCAUUAGGGAUUACAAUCCGGAACAGAAUGAGCAUAAUGUAUUGGCAAGAAUGUUACACCAUAAAGAAGCUAUCAUAUCUCAUUUAAGUUGGGCUAGCCUCUUUCUAGGAUUUCAUACCUUGGGCCUUUAUGUUCAUAACGACGUCAUGCUUGCUUUUGGUACUCCAGAAAAGAAAAUCUUGAUCGAACCUAUAUUUGCCCAAUGGAUACAAUCUGCUCAUGGCAAGACGACAUAUGGGUUCGAUAUACUCUUAUCUUCAACGAAUGGCCCCGCUUUCAAUGCGGGUCGAAGCCUAUGGUUGCCCGAAUGA